GGGGUGUUAGCUCAGCUGGUAGAGCAGCGGACUCUUAAUCCGUAGGUCGUAGGUUCGACUCCUACACGCCCCA
Non-coding RNA from Betaproteobacteria bacterium, 73 nucleotides. Lineage: Bacteria; Pseudomonadati; Pseudomonadota; Betaproteobacteria. The record is from Rfam.